RNAcentral lists this ribosomal RNA (495 nucleotides) under uncultured bacterium. RNAcentral describes it as "partial 16S ribosomal RNA". It matches the Rfam family "Bacterial small subunit ribosomal RNA", at positions 28 to 507 of the family's 1533-position model. The record is from RNAcentral.
GACGAACGCUGGCGGCGUGCCUAAUACAUGCAAGUAGAACGCUGAAGGCGGAGCUUGCUCUUCUGGAUGAGUUGCGAACGGGUGAGUAACGCGUAGGUAACCUGCCUGGUAGCGGGGGAUAACUAUUGGAAACGAUAGCUAAUACCGCAUAAGAGUAGAUGUUGCAUGACAUUUGCUUCAAAGGUGAAAUUGCAUCACUACCAGAUGGACCUGCGUUGUAUUAGCUAGUUGGUGGGGUAACGGCUCACCAAGGCGACGAUACAUAGACGACCAGGGAGGGGGAUCGGCCACACUGGGACGGAGACAUGGCCCAGACACCUACGGGUGGCAGCAGUAGCGAAUCUUCGGCAAUGGACGGAAGGGUGACCGAGCAACACCGCGGGAGUGACGAAGGUUGUCGUAUCGGAUGGCUCUGUUGUAAGAGAAGAACGAAUGGGAGAGUGGAAAGUUCACACAGCGACGGUAUCUGACCAGAAAGGGACGGCUAACUACGUG